RNAcentral lists this long non-coding RNA (1357 nucleotides) under Oreochromis niloticus (Nile tilapia). RNAcentral's name for it is "lncRNA (ENSONIG00000023676.2)". The record is from RNAcentral. Lineage: Eukaryota; Metazoa; Chordata; Actinopteri; Cichliformes; Cichlidae.
UUGUUGAAGGAAAGGAGAAAUAUGGAAGAAGAGCGGUCUGAGAUGGAAAUGAGAGGAGACCAAGUCAUGGAUGAAAUGAAAUCACUAGAGAUUCUGAAAGUGAAACUUCAACAACUGAAGCAGCAUAUAAAAGCUAAAACGGACAGAUUACUACAAAAUGUUGACAACAGGUCCAUGCUGCAAACAGUGUUGGAAGAAAAACUUACAACUCAAGACAAACAGAAAGAAAACAUUUGCUAUUUCACUGAAAUGUUAGAGAGGAAAGGAAGGUGUGAGAAUAUCCUUUCAGACAUGAUCACCAAGAGAGAAUGCACAGAAAAAGAAUGGAAGCAGCAGUUUGAACUGGACAAACGAGAUCUUGAUAAACGGAAAGAAGAUCUGAGACAAGACAGAGAAGAUCUGGAGAGAGAAAGUGAGGUGCUGAAUAAAGAGAAAAUGGAUUUGAAGCUGUUGAUGUCUGACAUGAAGAAACAAUUUGAAAUAUUGGAAGAAAAGAGACAAAAUGUAAAAGAAGAGAGAGACUCAAUGGAAAUCAUAAAGCUUGAACUGCUCAAUAAGAUGGAACAUGUAAAAAGGCUGUUAAAUGAGGCAAAUGAAGAAAAAGCCAAUAUUAAAGUUUGUAUCCUUCAGGUUCAAACGGAAAAAGAAAGACUUGAAGACAUUUUAAGCAAGAUUUUCUUAAACAUAGUGAACAAAAAGUCAAGGAAGAUGACCUCAGAAGACAAACAAAAGAACUGGAAAUGAAGAUGACCUCAGAAGACAAACAAAAGAACUGGAAAUGAUGAAGAAGCAAUCACAGAGUGAAAGAGAAAAGUGGAGAGUCUGAUGAGGAAUCUCAAAAGAAGCAAGAAGAGCUUGAACGUGCAAAGGAAAUCAUGAGUGAAGAAAAAGAAGAGGUGAAACAGAUGAAGACUGACAUUGCCAAAGAACGAGAACUGUUGUUGAAGGAAAGGAGAAAUAUGGAAGAAGAGCGGUCUGAGAUGGAAAUGAGAGGAGACCAAGUCAUGGAUGAAAUGAAAUCACUAGAGAUUCUGAAAGUGAAAUUUCAACAACUGAAGCAGCAUAUAAAAGUUAAAACGGACAGAUUACUACAAAAUGUGACAACAUGUCAGGCUGCAAACAGUGUUGGAAGAAAAACUUACAACUCAAGACAAACAGAAAGAAAACAUUUGCUGUUUCACUGAAAUGUUAGAUAGAGAAAAGGAAGGUGUGAGAAGUAUCCUUUCAGACAUGGUCACCAAGAGAGAAUGCACAGAAAAAGAAUGGAAGCAGCAGUUUGAACUGGACAAACGAGAUCUUGAUAAACGGAAAGAAGAUCUGAGACAAGACAGAGAAGAUCUGGAGAGAGAAAGUGAGG